This 254-nucleotide ribosomal RNA is filed under the name uncultured bacterium. RNAcentral describes it as "partial 16S ribosomal RNA". It matches the Rfam family "Bacterial small subunit ribosomal RNA", at positions 524 to 776 of the family's 1533-position model. The record is from RNAcentral.
GACAGAGGGUGCAAACGUUGCUCGGAAUUAUUGGGCGUAAAGAGCUCGUAGGCGGUGUGUCGCGUCGGCCGUGAAAACCUGCAGCUUAACUGUGGGCUUGCGGUCGAUACGGGCAUCACUGGAGUUCGGCAGGGGAGACUGGAAUUCCUGGUGUAGCGGUGAAAUGCGCAGAUAUCAGGAGGAACACCGGUGGCGAAGGCGGGUCUCUGGGCCGAUACUGACGCUGAGGAGCGAAAGCGUGGGGAGCGAACAGG